GACGAAGGUGGCAACCGUUGCUCGGAUUCACUGGGCAUAAAGCGCGCGUAGGUGGCUAGGCAGGUCACUGGUGAAAUCCCACGGCUCAACCGUGGACCCGCCAGUGAAACCGCCUUGCUUGAGGACGAGAGGGGAGAUUGGAACUCUUGGUGUAGCGGUGAAAUGCGUAGAUAUCAAGAGGAACGCCGGUGGCGAAAGCGAAUCUCUGGAUCGUUCCUGACACUGAGGCGCGAAAGCUAGGGGAGCAAACAGG
RNAcentral lists this ribosomal RNA (253 nucleotides) under uncultured bacterium. Its description in RNAcentral is "partial 16S ribosomal RNA". It matches the Rfam family "Bacterial small subunit ribosomal RNA", at positions 524 to 776 of the family's 1533-position model. The record is from RNAcentral.